UUCACUGGGAAAAAUAUAUUUACAAUUGAAUAAAGUAAUUAAAUUAAAUAAAUGCCUAAGGAAAUACUUAAAUCCCCAGAUUUUCGUCUAAUAUAAAUUUGAGAACAUUAAAAGCCGGGAGCAAACUCAAAAAAAAUUAAAAAUUGUCAGAAAUCUCCCAUACUUCCCCCUCCAUGGCGGCUCAGGAGCCAAGUUGAAAAGUUGUGAUUGUUUUUCCUUUUUUUUUUUUUUUCAUUUUAAUGUUUUUAAAUUUUUUUUUUUCCUGCUCUGAAUGAAUUUCCCAACUUCCAGAGCACAUGCUCCCGAGCUGGCAGCUCCCUGCUGUCCUUCCCCUGUGCUCUGCAAAGCCCAGGAAGGUCCUGGGAAGGUGCUGGAGCUCCAGGGGUUAAAGGAGCUGAACUUGUCAGGAUGUUUUUGUGUCGUCUGGAGGAGUUGUUUGUUGUGCUGUGGGUGCUGCAGGGUAUCAGUCACUCUGAAGGAGAGGAUGUCCAGGCAGUGCCACAGCAGACAGUGACUGGCACUGGCACUAAAUCAUUGUGUCAAGGCUCUGCUCUGCAGCAGCACAAAGGGAAUCCUGGUGGGGUUGGGAAGGAACUGGAGCCUUUGGGAUUGGCCAGCCCGCCUUGGAAUGAUCAAUUAGGGCUCGUUAAUUGCACUCAGUGGCAGGGUGGGCAGGAGGAAUCAGCCCUGCCUCUCCCUUGGUGCUCUGGGAUACUUUCGGUACAAAGCAGGCAAGGGAAAUGUUUCUGCAUGUCCUUAGGAAGGAUGAGAGAUUUGGGAUUGUUCAGCCUGGAGAACAGAAAGCUCUGGGGUGACCUUGGAGCUCCUUGCAGGGCCCGAAGGGGCUCCAGGAGAGGGACUGGGGAUGGAGGGACAGGAGCCAGGGAAUGGCUCCCACUGCCAGAGGGCAGGGAUGGGUGGGAGAUUGGGAAUUGGGAAUUCCUGGUUGGGAGGGUGGGGAGGCCCUGGAAUGGAAUUCCCAGAGCAGCUGGGGCUGCCCCUGGAUCCCUGGAAUGUCCAAGGCCAGGCUGGACAGGGCUUGGAGCUUCCUGGGACAGUAGAAAGUGUCUCUGCCAUGGCAGGGGUGGCACAGGAUUAUCCUUAAUGUCCCUUCCAACCCAGUGCAGUCUGGGAUUCUGUGAUAAAGUUCUGCCUGAGUAGGCUGAAAUUCCACAUCCCAAAGGAAUCAGGGAGAUCUUUAUAAAAUACUGGAUGCUUUGCUCUCAUGUAUAUCAAGGUUUAACUUUUUGAUUCCUCUCAGGCAGGUGUGUAGCAAAGUAUGAACACGUGGGCUAACACUUGACCUCCAAGUGGGAGCAAAGAGCUUUUCAGUUCCAGGCAUAAAACCUAAAAUUUAAAAUCUAAAAUUCGGUGGAUCCAGAAGUGUUACAUUUCUUAAUGCUAAAGCCAAUUUAAAGAGCCAAAAACUUCUGUUAAUUUGCAGAUACUGUGGUCUGUAAGGAACCUGAACAGCAACUGGGGCCAGGCCCUGCUCUAAAGACAGAAAUCCUGGGAUUUGUUAGGGAUGAAGGAGGAAAGUGAUGGAGUUGGACUUUGAUGGGUCCCUUCUAAUUCCAUGAUUCUAUCCUAUUCCAUGAUUCCCUAGGUGACAGGUGUGAGGAGGAUAUUCCAUGAUUCCCUAGGUGACAGGUGUGAGGAGGAUAUUCCAUGAAUCCAUAGGUGACAGGUGUGAGGAGGAUAUUCCAUGAUUCCCUAGGUGACAGGUGUGAGGAGGAUAUUCCAUGAAUCCAUAGGUGACAGGUGUGAGGAGGAUAUUCCAUGAAUCCAUAGGUGACAGGAGUGGGGAGGAUAUUCCAUGAAUCCAUAGGUGACAGGUGUGAGGAGGAUAUUCCAUGAAUCCAUAGGUGACAGGUGUGGGGAGGAUAUUCCAUGAAUCCAUGGGUGACAGGUGUGAGGAGGAUAUUCCAUGAUUCCCUAGGUGACAGGUGUGAGGAGGAUAUUCCAUGAUUCCCUAGGUGACAGGUGUGGGGAGGAUAUUCCAUGAAUCCAUGGGUGACAGGUGUGAGGAGGAUAUUCCAUGAAUCCAUAGGUGUCAGGAGUGGGGAGGAUAUUCCAUGAAUCCAUAGGUGACAGGUGUGAGGAGGAUAUUCCAUGAAUCCAUAGGUGUCAGGAGUGGCUCAGGCCACCCCAAUUUCCAUCACCCCUGAGACCAAGCCCACAGAUCCCUUUUCUUGGCAGGUAACUCAAAACUCCCUUUUCUUGCCCGAUAACUCAAAAGUGCUGUUUUCCUUUCUGCUGCCUGCUACCCAUGAGCUCUGCCGCCCCAAAACCUGAAAAAUCCCCAAACCUACACCCAAAACAACCAAACACCCCCUGGGGAGAAGCCAGCAGGGAGAUUCCUGCCCCUGGGAGAAGCCUCACAAGACACCUGCAAAGCCUCUUUCGUUUCUCCCGGACUUUUUCUUAUCGGAGCCGUUCCUCAAUCCCAUUUUUCUUUCAUCUCCUGCUGUUCACCUGGGGUUCCUCCCACCCUCUCUGCUCCUUCCCUGGAGCCUUUCCUUGCCAUUGAUUGCAGAGCAGUGCCAAGGCGUUUUGGCAGGGGAAGGGAUGCAGAUGCCUGCGAGAUGCCGCCGGGAGGCUGCGGGGACGGGAGCAGGGAGGAUCCUCGUGCCUGCCUUGGGUAACCCCAGCUCAGGAAUCGAGGUGCCACUCA
Molecule: long non-coding RNA, 2674 nt
Organism: Serinus canaria (Common canary)
Lineage: Eukaryota; Metazoa; Chordata; Aves; Passeriformes; Fringillidae
Exons: 4
Source: RefSeq, a predicted model, not a curated record